Molecule: ribosomal RNA, 253 nt
Filed under: uncultured bacterium
Lineage: Bacteria
Description: partial 16S ribosomal RNA
Rfam family: Bacterial small subunit ribosomal RNA
Source: RNAcentral
GACGAACCAUGCAAACGUUAUUCGGAAUUACUGGGCUUAAAGCGUGCGUAGGCGGCUCAGAAAGUUGGGUGUGAAAUACCUCGGCUUAACCGAGGAAUUGCGCCCAAAACUACUGGGCUUGAGGGAGUUAGAGGUGAGCGGAACUCACGGUGGAGCGGUGAAAUGCGUUGAUAUCGUGAGGAACACCGGAGGCGAAAGCGGCUCACUGGGGCUUCACUGACGCUGAGGCACGAAAGCUAGGGGAGCAAACGGG